Pollicipes pollicipes is the source of this 398-nucleotide long non-coding RNA. RefSeq lists it as uncharacterized. The record is from RefSeq and is a predicted model, not a curated record. Lineage: Eukaryota; Metazoa; Arthropoda; Thecostraca; Pollicipedomorpha; Pollicipedidae. The transcript has 4 exons.
UUGUGGUGUGGGUGGUCGCGGCCGUGCUCGGCCGAGCGGCCGGCGCGCCGGCGGGCCUGUCAAGCAGCUCGCCCUGCCAGCUCGCUUGUCGAGACAAUUUCCAGCUGGUGACCGUACCGGCUCAGACCCUCAGCCAGCCGUGCCUGCUCGGAUGCAACAACUAUAAUGCGUCCGUGAGGUUGGCUGGGGCCUCGUGCGUGAAGUAUUGCUUGGAUGUCCUUGACCUUGAAGAGGAGCGGCUGGCUUGCCAGAGCGGCUGCGCAGAAGCGAAAUAUUUACACCGCGCGAACUCUCUGCUGCGGGCCUUGCGGCCUUGGCCACGGCAGGAGGUCAUCCUCAGACGGGCCGGGCGGCAGCGGCUGUCGGAAGGACAGUGGCGGACACCCCCGCUGGAAGGC